UAGCUGAUGGGACCCGGAGGAGACCAACUCUGUGGGAUCUUACCGGUCGUUGGGAGUUAUGCGGUAGAAGGUGGUCUCGAAGAUACCCUGGCCCUGAGCCAUGUAGGGCUUUAAAGGUAAUAACCAACACCUUGAAUUGUGACCGGAGACCAAUAGGGAGCCAGUGCAGCUUGCAGAGAAUUGGUGUAAUGUGGGUGCACCUAGGUGUACCCAUGACAGCUCGCGCGGCUGCGUUCUGGACCAACUGUAGUGUCCGAACACCUUUCAAGGGUAGCCCCAUGUAGAGCACGUUGCAAUAAUCUAACCGUGAGGUGACAAGAUGGCUGGUUCUUUUCCUUUGAGAAUAGAAUCUCCAAUCACCAACAUUCACAUUCCUUUUUUAGGGGAUGCAGUGUGUGGUGCUUUUCUUUUAUCUAGGUCUACCCCUAAUUUUCUAAGGGGGCAGCAUGUCAGAUCCCUUUUGAAAUGCCACUAUCUCAAGAGUCCAUACUUUCUUGAAUCGGGAGUAGAGGCAGGACCUUACAGAUAGUUAUGCAGUUUUAAACUUUAAUGCCAAUAUAUCAGGUCAAAAUCUACAGCAAUUUAUAAGAGGCCAAACUAUUUAUUCUAAAACAAAUACAAAAUAUCCCUUUGACUAUGAAGUAAA
This is a long non-coding RNA of Pantherophis guttatus, 646 nucleotides long. RefSeq lists it as uncharacterized. NCBI's taxonomy places the organism in Eukaryota, Metazoa, Chordata, Lepidosauria, Squamata, Colubridae. The record is from RefSeq and is a predicted model, not a curated record.